Molecule: transfer RNA, 82 nt
Filed under: Ignavibacteria bacterium
Lineage: Bacteria; Pseudomonadati; Ignavibacteriota; Ignavibacteria
Description: tRNA-Leu
Rfam family: tRNA
About the family: Transfer RNA (tRNA) molecules are approximately 80 nucleotides in length. Their secondary structure includes four short double-helical elements and three loops (D, anti-codon, and T loops).
Source: RNAcentral
GCUCAAGUGGCGGAACUGGUAGACGCGCUGCAUUCAGGGUGCAGUCUGAGUAUUCAGGUGGGGUUCGAGUCCCCCUCGAGCA